CGAUAUCAAGUUGGAGGAAGGUGGGGAUGACGUCAAGUCAGCAUGGCCUUUAUAUCUGGGGCGACACACACGCUACAAUGGGCGGUACAAUGGGAAGCGAAGGGGCGACCUGGAGCGAAUCCUAUCAAAGCCGUUCGUAGUUCGGAUUGUAGGCUGCAACUCGCCUGCAUGAAGCCGGAGUUGCUAGUAACCGCAGGUCAGCCAUACUGCGGUGAAUACGUUCCCGGGCCUU
RNAcentral lists this ribosomal RNA (232 nucleotides) under uncultured Caldilinea sp. RNAcentral describes it as "partial 16S ribosomal RNA". It matches the Rfam family "Bacterial small subunit ribosomal RNA", at positions 1153 to 1382 of the family's 1533-position model. The record is from RNAcentral. Lineage: Bacteria; Bacillati; Chloroflexota; Caldilineae; Caldilineales; Caldilineaceae.